UUACGCGCUUUUAAAAUAUGGCGUUACAACUGAACAUCAUCAUAUCUGAAGUAUAUGACACAAUGUAUCAAACACAUAGUUGUGUUACGUAUUAUCAAGAGAUUAAGAUUAUUUGAAACCCGCUCAAUUGAAUGACACUGCCAUCUACAGGCAACAACCAUGAGAAUAUAGAAUGUACACUCUCUUCAAUGAGAAUUCCCCAGACAGUGAACAGCUGGUUUAUCCGAAGAAAGUAGAACUCAAACAAUGUUAAGUCUGUUGUGUAUUUAGACCGGUUAAUAAAUAAAAUUUAAUUAAAAAAAUAUUUAUCAAACAUACACAUGGAUGGUUGUAUGAUAAUUUAUUCUAUAACAUUUU
This is a long non-coding RNA of Cotesia glomerata, 357 nucleotides long. RefSeq lists it as uncharacterized. The transcript has 2 exons. NCBI's taxonomy places the organism in Eukaryota, Metazoa, Arthropoda, Insecta, Hymenoptera, Braconidae. The record is from RefSeq and is a predicted model, not a curated record.